GGACUACUGGGGUAUCUAAUCCCGUUCGCUCCCCACGCUUUCGCGCCUCAGCGUCAGGGUCGAGCCAGAGGGCCGCCUUCGCCACGGGUGUUCCUCCUGAUCUCUACGCAUUUCACCGCUACACCAGGAAUUCCACCCUCCUCUCUCGCCCUCAAGAACGACAGUUUCCAGCCACCCUCCCCGGUUGAGCCGGGGGCUUUCAGACCGGACUGAUCGUUCCGCCUACGCGCGCUUUACGCCCAGUAAAUCCGGACAACGCUUGCCCCCUACGUAUUACCGCGGCUGCUGGCAC
Molecule: ribosomal RNA, 292 nt
Filed under: uncultured bacterium
Lineage: Bacteria
Description: partial 16S ribosomal RNA
Source: RNAcentral